This is a long non-coding RNA of Maniola jurtina (meadow brown), 281 nucleotides long. RefSeq lists it as uncharacterized. The transcript has 2 exons. The record is from RefSeq and is a predicted model, not a curated record. Lineage: Eukaryota; Metazoa; Arthropoda; Insecta; Lepidoptera; Nymphalidae.
UAAAUCAAAAAGUAUUAUGCAUAAAAAUAAAUAAAAAUAUGUUUUAGAAUGUGUUACGCAGGCGAAGCCAGCGGCUGAUACAUAGUGAGCCAGCGCAACAUGCAUUCUCAUUCCCACGUACGAAUACGACCCGUAUAGCUGACGCGGCGUAAUACCAGAACCCGCGCGAUGUGGGAAUCGUAAUAUUAAGUUAGAAUAUUCUCAUCCUUAGAGAUAAGCACUAGUUUUUAGUCUUUUCAUUUAAAUGUAACUUUGAAUAUAAUUAUUAUAAGGAUAUUAUC